GAUAGGUGGGAGGCUUUGAAGUGUGGACGCCAGUCUGCAUGGAGCCGACCUUGAAAUACCACCCUUUAAUGUUUGAUGUUCUAACGUGGACCCGUGAUCCGGGUUGCGGACAGUGUCUGGUGGGUAGUUUGACUGGGGCGGUCUCCUCCUAAAGAGUAACGGAGGAGCACGAAGGUUGGCUAAUCCUGGUCGGACAUCAGGAGGUUAGUGCAAUGGCAUAAGCCAGCUUGACUGCGAGCGUGACGGCGCGAGCAGGUGCGAAAGCAGGUCAUAGUGAUCCGGUGGUUCUGAAUGGAAGGGCCAUCGCUCAACGGAUAAAAGGUACUCCGGGGAUAACAGGCUGAUACCGCCCAAGAGUUCAUAUCGACGGCGGUGUUUGGCACCUCGAUGUCGGCUCAUCACAUCCUGGGGCUGAAGUAGGUCCCAAGGGUAUGGCUGUUCGCCAUUUAAAGUGGUACGCGAGCUGGGUUUAGAACGUCGUGAGACAGUUCGGUCCCUAUCUGCCGUGGGCGCUGGAGAACUGAGGGGGGCUGCUCCUAGUACGAGAGGACCGGAGUGGACGCAUCACUGGUGUUCGGGUUGUCAUGCCAAUGGCACUGCCCGGUAGCUAAAUGCGGAAGAGAUAAGUGCUGAAAGCAUCUAAGCACGAAACUUGCCCCGA
RNAcentral lists this ribosomal RNA (661 nucleotides) under Salmonella enterica. RNAcentral's name for it is "partial 23S ribosomal RNA". It matches the Rfam family "Bacterial large subunit ribosomal RNA", at positions 2142 to 2802 of the family's 2925-position model. Lineage: Bacteria; Pseudomonadati; Pseudomonadota; Gammaproteobacteria; Enterobacterales; Enterobacteriaceae. RNAcentral also lists the same sequence under 1 other name. The record is from RNAcentral.